Molecule: ribosomal RNA, 650 nt
Filed under: uncultured bacterium
Lineage: Bacteria
Description: bacterial SSU rRNA
Rfam family: Bacterial small subunit ribosomal RNA
Source: RNAcentral
AGAGUUUGAUCAUGGCUCAGGAUGAACGCUAGCGGCAGGCUUAACACAUGCAAGUCGAGGGGUAACGGGGAAGCUUGCUUCCGCCGACGACCGGCGCACGGGUGCGUAACGCGUAUACAAUCUACCUUAUACUGGGGUAUAGCCUUUAGAAAUGAAGAUUAACCCCCCAUAGUCUCUUAGAGUGGCAUCACUUCUAGAGUAAAGGUUACGGUAUAAGAUGAGUAUGCGUUCUAUUAGUUUGUUGGUGUGGUAACGGCACACCAAGACUACGAUAGAUAGGGGCCCUGAGAGGGGGAUCCCCCACACUGGUACUGAGACGCGGACCAGACUCCUACGGGAGGCAGCAGUGAGGAAUAUUGGACAAUGGAGGCAACUCUGAUCCAGCCAUGCCGCGUGCAGGAAGACUGCCCUAUGGGUUGUAAACUGCUUUUAUACAGGAAGAAACACCUCUACGUGUAGAGGCUUGACGGUACUGUAAGAAUAAGGAUCGGCUAACUCCGUGCCAGCAGCCGCGGUAAUACGGAGGAUCCAAGCGUUAUCCGGAAUCAUUGGGUUUAAAGGGUCCGUAGGUGGAUAAUUAAGUCAGAGGUGAAAUCUUGCAGCUCAACUGUAAAAUUGCCUUUGAAACUGGUUAUCUUGAGUUAUUAUGA